AAGGCCGUGAGGGUCUGCAGUCCGAGAUGG
This 30-nucleotide non-coding RNA is filed under the name Homo sapiens (human). Lineage: Eukaryota; Metazoa; Chordata; Mammalia; Primates; Hominidae. The record is from RNAcentral.